ACAAAAGCGACGAAUGGGAGUAGUAGAAGGACAGGCAUAGCUUUAGAGAGCUGCGGGUUGGUGAAACGCAGACUAUGUCUUCCUUCGAACUCACCCUGGAGCAGCAGAACUGAAAGAUUAUAUUCUUUAGGUUUUGACGAGUGACCUUCGUUACAAGGUGAAGAGUGGGUUUUUAAAAACCAACAAGAGUGGUACCGCGGAAAUUAAGAAGCUUUCCGUCUCUUUU
RNAcentral lists this non-coding RNA (226 nucleotides) under Terribacillus aidingensis. RNAcentral's name for it is "T-box sequence". It matches the Rfam family "T-box leader". Rfam says of the family: Uncharged tRNA acts as the effector for transcription antitermination of genes in the T-box leader family. T-boxes are found upstream of many aminoacyl-tRNA synthetase genes and some amino acid biosynthetic genes usually in Gram-positive bacteria. The record is from RNAcentral. Lineage: Bacteria; Bacillati; Bacillota; Bacilli; Caryophanales; Bacillaceae.